GCGUGCAUGGCAAAGUGGUCACUGCACUCCCUUCCCAAGGGAGAGAUCGUGGGUUCGAACCCCACUGCUCGCA
RNAcentral lists this transfer RNA (73 nucleotides) under Pseudozyma flocculosa PF-1. RNAcentral's name for it is "tRNA-Gly (CCC) (tRNA-Gly-CCC-1-1)". It matches the Rfam family "tRNA". From Rfam's summary of the family: Transfer RNA (tRNA) molecules are approximately 80 nucleotides in length. Their secondary structure includes four short double-helical elements and three loops (D, anti-codon, and T loops). The record is from RNAcentral. Lineage: Eukaryota; Fungi; Basidiomycota; Ustilaginomycetes; Ustilaginales; Ustilaginaceae.